Molecule: long non-coding RNA, 1726 nt
Filed under: Homo sapiens (human)
Lineage: Eukaryota; Metazoa; Chordata; Mammalia; Primates; Hominidae
Description: novel transcript
Source: RNAcentral
GUAGUGGCCUCGCCGCCCGGUCCGCUGUCGCAGCGCUCAUCCGCGCCGGGAGCCCUUGGCUGCGUCGCCCGGCAGCCGCGGCUGGAGUGUAGUGGCGCAAUCUUGGAUCACCACAACCUCCGUCUCCCAGGUUCAAGCGAUUCUCCCGCCUCAGCCUCCUGAGUAGCAAUUACAGGCCGAGUCUCACUCUGUCGCCCAGGAUGGAGUGCAGUGGCGCAAUGUCGGCUUACUGCAACCUCUGCCUCCCAGGUUCAAGCGAUUCUCCUGCCUCAGCCUCCAGAGUACCUGGGAUUACAGGGAGCAUUUCCUGAAGACGUAGUCAUGCAGCACGUCAGCAGCUCCCAGAGCAGCCAGCGCCAUGUCCAGUGGCCUGGGGCCUGCCCCGGCGCGGGCGAGGAGCAGCCAGCGUGCUCCCAGCCGUCCCUGCCCCUCACACUGCCAUCCCCCAGCCACCAACUACAGCAGCUGAUGGUCCAGACCCAGAGUCCCACGCAGCCCAGUCCGGGGCCGGGGCAGGCCUUGCAGAAUGUGCGUGCAGGUGCCCCUGGCCCUGGGCUGGGCCUCUGCAGCAGCAGCCCUACAGGGGACUUCGUGGAUGCCAGCGUGCUGGUGAGGCAGAUCAGCUUGAGCCCCUCCAGUGGUGGACACUUUGUGUUUCAGGAUGGGUCAGGGCUCACCCAGAUCGCCCAGGGAGCCCAGGUUCAGCUCCAGCACCCGGGUACGCCCAUCACAGUCCGAGAGCGGAGACCCUCCCAGCCCCACACACAGUCAGGGGGCACCAUCCACCACCUGGGACCCCAGAGCCCUGCAGCCGCGGGUGGGGCCGGCCUGCAGCCCCUGGCCAGCCCAAGCCACAUCACCACGGCUAACUUGCCACCGCAGAUCAGCAGCAUCAUCCAGGGCCAGCUGGUUCAGCAGCAGCAGGUGCUGCAGGGGCCGCCGCUGCCCCGGCCCCUGGGCUUCGAGAGGACGCCCGGCGUGCUGCUCCCCGGGGCUGGGGGCGCAGCGGGGUUUGGGAUGACGUCCCCACCCCCGCCCACCAGCCCUUCCAGGACUGCCGUGCCCCCAGGCCUUUCCAGCCUCCCACUCACGUCUGUGGGGAACACGGGAAUGAAGAAGGUUCCCAAGAAGUUAGAGGAGAUUCCCCCAGCCUCUCCGGAGAUGGCACAGAUGAGGAAGCAGUGCCUGGACUAUCAUCACCAGGAGAUGCAGGCUCUGAAGGAGGUCUUCAAGGAGUAUUUGAUUGAACUGUUUUUCUUGCAACACUUUCAAGGGAACAUGAUGGAUUUCUUAGCUUUCAAGGAGAGACUGUAUGGACCAUUACAAGCAUAUCUUAGGCAGAAUGAUUUGGACAUUGAAGAAGAGGAAGAGGAGCACUUUGAAGUCAUUAAUGAUGAGGUAAAGGUUGUGGCCAGAAAGCACGGGCAGCCUGGGACUCCUGUUGCCAUAGCAACCCAGCUACCGCCGAGGACUUCUGCGGCUUUUCCAGCCCAGCAGCAGCCGCUCCAGGUACUUUCUGAUGGCUCCACAGUGCAGCUCCCCAGACUUUCCUCACUCGGAUUUGAGGACUCGAUGUGCUGAGGCAGGACCCAGAGGGGUCCCAAGAGCCUGUCCUCUUUUGUUCAAAAUACAUCUUGAAACGUCUUUGUGAAGGCUCUUAGUUUUAAUGCAUGGAUGCUGUUAUUUUUCCCUACUGUUACUGAAAUUAAAAAGUGUUUGUCUCUGA